This 266-nucleotide ribosomal RNA is filed under the name uncultured bacterium. RNAcentral describes it as "partial 16S ribosomal RNA". It matches the Rfam family "Bacterial small subunit ribosomal RNA", at positions 91 to 354 of the family's 1533-position model. The record is from RNAcentral.
CCUAGUGGCGAACGGGUGAGUAACGCGUGAGUAACCUGCCUCAUACAACGGGAUACCCGAGGGAAACUUCGGUUAAUACGGUAUAAGACCACACUACCGCAUGGUAGAGGGGUAAAAAGGGGCAACCUGGUAUGAGAUGGACUCGCGUCGCAUUAGCUAGUUGGUGAGGUAACGGCCCACCAAGGCGACGAUGCGUAGCCGACCUGAGAGGGUGAUCGGCCACAUUGGGACUGAGAUACGGCCCAGACUCCUACGGGAGGCAGCAG